Long non-coding RNA from Mangifera indica (mango), 1062 nucleotides. RefSeq lists it as uncharacterized. NCBI's taxonomy places the organism in Eukaryota, Viridiplantae, Streptophyta, Magnoliopsida, Sapindales, Anacardiaceae. The record is from RefSeq and is a predicted model, not a curated record. The transcript has 2 exons.
GGCAAUCAAAGUAAAGGAAGUGGAGAGACAAAGAGGGAAAACAAUGAGAUGAGAAAGUCAAACCUGUGUCUGUCGUUGUCUUCACCCAAAAGAAAAAAGAAUAACUACCGCAGAUAUAUAUAAAUUUAUGUAUAUAUUUAUAUUAUUACGGUCACUUGUCGGUGGUAUUAUUCGUUGUGGUGAAUUAUAACAGACGCAGCCUCCCACUACCACCACUACCUUUAAACCUCUCAGUCUCCUUCUCUUCAUCAAACGAACAGUCCAUCAAUUAAAAUUUCACUCUCUCUUUUCUUUUCCCUUCUGAACCUUCUUUCUAUUUAUCUUCUAUUCAACACUAGCUGUUCCACCCGCCAUCUUUGAAAUUAUCGAUCUGGCCGGGUUCAGGACUGUUGCUGUUCGACUUAUCGGCGGUGGUGGUGGAGGUAGUAAUAAUAGUACUAAGAAGAAGAAGACGGAUAAAAAAACUAAAGUUAAAGAUAAGUUCAUGGAGUUGUGGCACAAAAUGAUCUUCCCUGUUCGGCAAGUCUGGGAGGCCGUUUCCUCCAGAGUUAAAGCUCGUAAAAACGGAACUGGCCUUUUGAAGCUUCAUGAUGCUGUACAAACUUGUGAAUAUCAUGAUGUUCAGGUGAUGUGGGAAAUGCUGAGGAGAUCAGAAAGAGAGUUAAUAAAUCAUAAUCCGAAGCAAAGGCAAACGACGUUUUUGGAGAAUUUUUGUUUGGUCCAUAGUUGAGCUUUUCAUCCUUCUCAGGGAAUCAUGCCUGAUAUGAGACUCAAGUUGAUACUGUAAGAAGAAUAAUAAUAACAAUGUGUUGCCCCAGCUGACAUGGGCCCAUGUUAUUAUAAUCCAACAGCCGACAUGGCAUUGCAGUAGCAUGCAUAGAGCUGUUGCAGCUGUCUCCAAAUCAUUAUAAGAUUAAAUACUAUUCAGCUUUCAUUUUUCCCUGUGGGGAGAAAAACUACUGUCAAAUAACAUUGGCAUGUUUGUACAUAAAUGAUAUUUUCUCACAACCCAGAAACAAUGGCAUUCUCUUGUGGCUUUUAGAUAAAUUCAUCUUAUUCCAU